This 75-nucleotide transfer RNA is filed under the name Deinococcus cellulosilyticus. RNAcentral describes it as "tRNA-His". It matches the Rfam family "tRNA". Rfam says of the family: Transfer RNA (tRNA) molecules are approximately 80 nucleotides in length. Their secondary structure includes four short double-helical elements and three loops (D, anti-codon, and T loops). Further hydrogen bonds mediate the characteristic L-shaped molecular structure. tRNAs have two regions of fundamental functional importance: the anti-codon, which is responsible for specific mRNA codon recognition, and the 3' end, to which the tRNAs corresponding amino acid is attached (by aminoacyl-tRNA synthetases). tRNAs cope with the degeneracy of the genetic code in two manners: having more than one tRNA (with a specific anti-codon) for a particular amino acid; and 'wobble' base-pairing, i.e. permitting non-standard base-pairing at the 3rd anti-codon position. The record is from RNAcentral. RNAcentral also lists the same sequence under 1 other name. Lineage: Bacteria; Thermotogati; Deinococcota; Deinococci; Deinococcales; Deinococcaceae.
GAGGUGAUGGCUCAGUCUGGUAGAGCGGAUGGAGUGUCCAUCAGGUCGAAGGUUCAAAUCCUUCUCACUUCACCA